Pelobates cultripes (western spadefoot toad) is the source of this 120-nucleotide non-coding RNA. The record is from the annotation of a GenBank genome assembly. NCBI's taxonomy places the organism in Eukaryota, Metazoa, Chordata, Amphibia, Anura, Pelobatidae.
GUAAAGAACUUCAUCAGGGACCGUAUAUAAGAAAUAAAAUCAAUAUACAUGUUUUUUUUUAUAUACUGUAAUUGUAUAUUGAUUUUAUUUCUUAUAUACGGUCCCUGAUGAAGUUCUUUA